UGUGUUUAUAUUAUUAAAAUUUAUAUUUUUAUAAUGUGAUAAUUGAUUAUUAACUUUUCGUGCCUAGUUGAUCCUGUAAGUCUUAUUAAACGUAUUUUAUGUAUAGUAAAUUAGCAAUCCUGCUAAAAGUUUUCUUAUGUGUUUACUACAAGUCAAGGCGGAUUUUCUUAUGUGUUAUGUGUUUACUGCAAGUCAAGGCAGCUCUUUUCAUGUAUUAAGCCAUAUUAGUGGCUAUUCUUGGUAUUGAAAACAGGUGGAUAGUCCUAUAAACAGAGGAGGUGCUGCCGAAAUUUUGUUAGAAAUUAUAUGCAUUUAGACUAUUUAAAGGUGUUUGAUAGAUAAUAAGUAGAGACAAUAAUAUUGGUAUACAUGUCUACGUGAUACGUGAUCACUAGUAAUCUUUAAUAAUUAUAAAAGUAUUUCUUGGUUGACUAAGUUCUAUGUGUUUGGCUGAAAUUUAUGUUUAUAUAAACGAAGGGUAGUGAUUAAGUGAUAUUGAGGAUAUGACUUUGGAUUCAAAUAGUUAAGACCCAGUCUUCUAUCCUGUAGGUUCCGGUUAGAGAGCCUAACAGUAUAGUGCAGUCUUAUCUCUAGCAUUCUAUUAUCAAGGCAAGUAUUUCUACCCUACUUCUCUAGUACCUAUAGAUACUAAAACCUUCUUUAUAUCAUGAUUCAAAUUAUUUGCAAUUACUCUCUUGUGAAGCAUAUCUAGUAUUUCCAAACUUUUUGGUUGAACGGAUAACACUUUUGGUAUCGACUCUACACUAUUAUAUGCAUAAAGAAAUUGUUUUAACAAAAUGUUAUUUUGGCUCUUGAAUUACAUGAUGGAACUGCAGAUUGUUCUAAAAAUUAAACUAUUGGGUUGUUUUUGCGUAAGAGGCUCGGGCACCGGCCCAGCGUGAAAGGUGGCUCCUUAAGCCCGGAUUACCGGAAUUCGUAAUAUUUGUCAACCUUGCUGAAUAAGCUUGGUUUAUGGACUAUAGCAUGACUGAUCAUCUGUUAUAGCCAGGUGUCCAAUGAUUUUUAAAGCCCAAUAAAAUUGUGAAUAGUUAAAGAGAGGUUAUCCUGCCUUCAAGAGAUAUUUGCUUAUACAUUCAUUUCUGCAGUUUUAAAUAUUUUCACUUCUUUAUUAUGGCAUUGCUGUACAACAAAUAUCAAUUUCAUUCUGUUAUACUUGCUGAGCAUUUCUUUGGCUCAUACCUGUUUAUUUUCAAACUAACCCCUUUCAGAUGCCAAGGAUUAGAGCAGCUGCUUAUAAGGUUUCCCAGAGUUAUCUUUUGUGCUAGGAAAAUCGCAGGAUGAUGCUAGGAGUCUUGGACUAAGUGUGGAUUAGUUAGUACGACUUGUUUCUUUGAAGUUGUAUUAUAGUGUCAGUAUGGUUGUAGUGGAAAACUCAUGUAGUAAGGAACCUAUGUCGUCGUUCGUUUGCAGUAACAGUUUAAACCUUUCGCAGACUUAAACCUGGCAAGAUCUUUGGUCAGGGGUGUAAUGGUAAAUAUUUAUUAUGUUAAUCUAUUCAGCUGUCAUUAGUUUAUUUUAUUGUUUAGUUUAUUCUUUUUAGUGACACCGAAUCUGCACCCCGGAUUCUGGGCUGUCACAGUUGGUAUCAGAGCGACAGGUUUAAGUCACUGUGUUAGGUUAGGUUAGGUAGAGAGUCUACCCUUAUUAGUGAUAUUUGGACUAGGUGAUUGAGUCAGCAACUCAUGUUGAGUUGAAAGUUAAGAUUACAGAAUGUAGUUUUAAUAAAUAUUGGUUAGGAUAUAGUGUUAUAGCUUAGAGUCAUUGUUUAGUUCUGAACUACGUGCUUGAGUUAGGAUCUAAUAUAGACUGUUGCAGAAAGGACCAGGACUAUUAGAACUAUCCACAUUAAUACAACCAGGGUCAGCAUGUAUCAGAGUCUUGUGUAUUGGUUAGUGCAUGAUAGGCUAUAUAAGAUCUUAAUUAUUGCUAAGGAUUGUACUAGUAUGCUAUCCGUAUUAUGAUAUGUUGCUAUUUGUUGAGAAAUUGUGGUUACUUGAUCUGUAGUUGGCAUAUUGUGAAGAUCUAUUUUGGAUGACAUUUUAUGAAUUUUUGGACUAGCAAACAAUGUGUGAUAGUGAAUUUGCACUUUUCAAAGGACUACAUAUUUAUAUAUUUUAUCUCAAAAAUAAAUGAAGCAGAUUGCUAAAACAGAUUGUUUGUGGUAACAGAAAAUGUCAUCUGAAAGAUCACCACCGAGCAAUCCUGGAAAUCAGGGUACUUCAAACCAACCAACUAUGGAUCAGAUACUACAGUUGCUACAGCAACAAGCGACAAAUAUGGUUCAGCAGCAACAACAAUAUAUGCAGCAAAAUCAACAGCCGCAUCAAAAUCGUCAAGUAGAGGCACCGAUGUCGACGUUUAAGUCAUUUCAAGCAAUUAAGCCCCCAGACUUUGAUGGAUCAAAAGGACCUAUUGAAGCAAGGUCUUGGUUGAAGGAAAUUGAGAAAGCUUUCAAAUUAGCAAAAGUAAGUGAGGAUCAGAAGACUGAUUAUGCUAGUUACUUUCUGAAAAAUGAAGCUAAUUAUUGGUGGGAAUCGGUAAGAGCUCUAGAAGGAGAUGAUGUGAUCUUGUGGGAUAGGUUUGUUGAACUGUUCUUAGAGCAAUAUUUUCCGGAGCAUGUACAAAGCCAACUAGAGUUGGACUUCUUGGAGUUAAAACAAGGAGAUAAGAGUGUAGCGGAGUAUGAGAAGAAGUUUAUGGAGUUGGCAAGGUUUGUCACAGCCUACGUGGAUACUGAUUUGAAGAAAGCUAAAAGAUUCCAACAAGGGCUAAGAUCGGAUAUUAGAAUUAGUGUGGCAGCUUUAAGAUUGAAGACUUAUGCUGAUGUGGUUCAAACAGCAAUGGUGAUAGAAAGAGAGCACACUUUAGAUAAAAAGGAGCAAGAGAGUAAGAAAAGGAAGGUGGAAGCAAUUGAAGGAAGUCAAGGCCAAGGAAGUUCUCAACAAGGAUUCCAGAAGAGGCAGAAUUUCCAACAAAAUAGGAAUCAAGCAUUUAAGAACCCGGGGCAGAAUGUUAAUAGGCAGUUUAAUAGGCCCCCGAAUCAGAAUCAACAAGGUGUAGUGAAACCUCCAACACCAGACUGCAAGAAUUGUGGGAAGAAGCACUCAGGAAUGUGUGGAAAAUUGAACAUAGUAUGUUUUAAAUGUAAUAAGAGGGGUCAUUACGCUAAUGAGUGUAGAAGUCAAGGGGCAAUGAGGUGUGACAAUUGUGGGAAAACUGGGCAUUAUACCUAUAAUUGCAAGAACCCGGCACUGGCAAGCGCAAUGGUACGUGUGCAAGGAUCAACAUCAGGGAAGAGGCCUAAUGCCAGGACUUUUAACAUGACAAAGAAGACUUCGUCUAAGGAUACAGAUGUGGUAGCAGGUACGCUUUCUGUUAAUUCCGUAGCUGCUAAAGUUUUAAUGGACUCAGGAGCAUCGAAAUCUUUUAUAUCCGUGGAGUUAGUUGAUAAAUUAAAUUGUAAGAUAAAUGAUUUAGAGGAGGCGUUGAUAAUAGAAAUUGCAAAUCGUGAUAGAAUACCAGUUAAUCAAGUCUGCCCUCAAUGUAAGAUUGAGGUAUCAGGAAAUUGUUUCAUGGCUGAUUUAAUACCCUUUAGGUUAGGAGAGUUUGAUGUCAUACUAGGAAUGGACUGGUUAUCUCAAUAUAAAGCUAAGAUAGAUUGUAAGGGUAAGAAGGUAGUAUUGUUCACUCCAGAGGGAAGUAAGGUAAUUUUUAAAGGACAAAGGCAAGAAAAGAAGUUUUUAACGGUCAUGCAAGCGAAGAAACUAUUGAGACAAGGAUGUGAGGCGUAUUUGGCUCAUGUAGUAGACACUAAGAAGAAGGCACCUAAUCUGGAGGAGGUUCCGGUAGCAAAUGAGUUUCCUGAAGUGUUUCCAGAUGAGUUGCCAGGAUUACCACCAGCUCGCGAGAUAGAAUUUUCUAUUGAGUUAGUGCCAGGAGCUGAGCCAGUAUCGAAAGCUCCGUAUCGAAUGGCUCCGGUGGAAAUGAAGGAGUUAGCGAAGCAGUUACAAGAAUUAUUGGAUAAGGGAGUGAUUAGACCAAGUGUUUCACCUUGGGGAGCUCCAGUGUUGUUCGUUAAGAAAAAGGAUGGGAGUAUGAGAUUAUGUAUAGAUUAUCGAGAGUUGAACAAGUUAACUAUUAAGAAUAAGUACCCAUUGCCAAGGAUCGAUGAUUUAUUCGAUCAACUUAAAGGAGCAGUUUGUUUCUCGAAGAUUGACCUAAGGUCUGGUUACCACCAGUUGAAGAUUAAGCCUGAAGAUAUUCCGAAGACUGCAUUUAGAACCAGAUACGGGCACUAUGAGUUUUUGGUGAUGUCGUUUGGUUUGACUAACGCGCCAGCAGCAUUUAUGGAUUUAAUGAAUCGAGUGUUUAAGGAGUAUUUGGAUAAAUUUGUGAUUGUGUUUAUUGACGAUAUUUUGAUAUAUUCGAAGUCAAAGGAAGAACACGGAGAACAUUUAAGGAUUACUUUGCAAAGGCUAAAGGAGAAGCAAUUGUACGCUAAGUUUUCAAAAUGUGAAUUUUGGCUGGAAGAGGUUCAAUUUUUGGGUCACGUAGUUGGUAAGGAAGGUAUUAAGGUGGAUCCAGCAAAGAUUGAAGCUGUGAUGAAUUGGGAACAACCAAAGACACCGACUGAAGUAAGAAGUUUCCUAGGAUUAGCAGGAUAUUAUAGGAGGUUUGUAAAAGAUUUUGCGAAGAUUGCAACACCAUUAACCAAGUUAACUAGGAAGACUGAGAAAUUUGUUUGGAGGGAUGAAUGCGAAAGGAGUUUUCAGGAAUUGAAAGAAAGAUUAGUAACUGCUCCAGUGCUAGCAUUGCCGGAUGAAAAAGGAAAUUUUGUGAUUUAUAGUGAUGCUUCUUUGAAGGGUUUAGGUUGUGUAUUAAUGCAGCAUGAUAGAGUUAUUGCCUACGCGUCUAGACAACUGAAACCACACGAGCAAAAGUAUCCGACCCAUGAUCUAGAAUUAGCAGCAAUUGUAUUUGCAUUGAAACUAUGGAGACAUUACUUGUAUGGAGAAAAGUGUGAGAUUUUUACGGAUCACAAGAGCUUGAAGUACAUAUUUACUCAAAAGGAGCUAAAUAUGAGGCAACGAAGAUGGUUGGAAUUAAUUAAGGAUUAUGAUUGUUCUAUUAAUUAUCAUCCUGGAAAGGCGAAUGUAGUUGCAGAUGCGCUAAGUAGGAAGGAAAGAUUAAAUAUGAUUGACAUUGCGAAGGAAUUGUCUGAGGAAUUGGAAAAAUUGGAGAUUGAAGUAUGUGUACCAGGAGUAGUUCAAGAAAGAUUAUAUGAAAUUACUUUUCAGCCAGAGUUACUGGAAAGAAUCAAAAGAUGUCAAGAAGAGGUAAUGAAUCAAGAUGGUCAAUUAACAAAAGAAGAGAUUUGUACUGAAAAAGGUAAUGACGGGGUGUAUAGAUUUUCUUCACGGAUAUGGAUUCCUAACGUGACUGAGUUGAAAAAUGAGAUCUUACGAGAAGCUCAUAGUUCGAGAUUUUCUAUCCACCCAGGGAGUACCAAGAUGUACCAGGAUUUAAAGAGAAAUUUUUGGUGGCCAGGGAUGAAAAGUGAAAUAGCUGAUUGGGUGAGUAAGUGUCAUACUUGUCAAAGAGUGAAAGCGGAGCAUCAAAGACCAAGUGGAUUACUACAACCCCUAGAGAUUCCAAAGUGGAAGUGGGAGGAUAUUGCUAUGGAUUUUGUAGUUGGAUUACCAAGGACCAAAACAAACCACGAUGCCAUAUGGAUUAUUAUUGAUAGAUUAACGAAGUCGGCGCAUUUUCUCCCAAUUAAUGAAAAGUACCCGUUAAAUAAGUUGGUUAAGUUGUAUUUGGAUGAAAUCGUAGCUAGACAUGGAGUUCCAGUUUCGAUUGUAUCCGACAGAGACCCGAGGUUUAACUCCAGAUUUUGGACCAAAUUUCAAGAAUGUUUAGGAACACAGUUAAAGAUGAGCACUGCGUACCACCCUCAGACGGAUGGACAAAGUGAGAGGACAAUUCAAACAAUAGAAGAUAUGCUCAGGGUGUGCGCAUUGGAUUUCAAAGGAAAUUGGGAUGAUCAUUUACCAUUGAUUGAGUUUUCGUAUAACAAUAGCUAUCAUGCCAGUAUUGGAAUGCCACCUUAUGAAGCUUUGUAUGGAAGGAAGUGUCGAUCUCCAGUUUGUUGGGAAGAAGUAGGAGAACGGAAGAUAUUAGGGUCAGAAUUGGUGCAACAAACCAAGGAUGUGAUUCAACUUAUUCAAAAGAGAUUGGUGACUGCUCAAGAUAGACAAAGAAAGUAUGCGGACUUGCAUCGAAAGAAUAUUGAAUUUGAAGUUGGAAGUUUAGUUUUGUUGAAAGUAUCACCAUGGAAAGGAUUAGUCAGAUUUGGCCAAAAAGGAAAGCUUAGUCCACGAUUUAUCGGUCCUUAUGAAGUCUUAAAGAAAGUAGGGAACGUUGCUUACGAAAUAGCACUACCGCCCCACAUGCAACAUAUCCACAACGUCUUCCAUGUAUCAAUGCUGAAGAAGUACAUUCCAGAUUCUAAUCAAGUUAUAGAAUAUGAGCAAGUAGAAAUUCAGCCAGAUCUCUCAUAUGUAGAGCAACCGAUAGAGAUCCUAGAUAGAAAAGAGAAAGUUCUUAGAAAUAGAUCUGUACCUAUUGUCAAAGUGUUAUGGAGGAAUCCUAGAGUAGAGGAAACUACUUGGGAACUAGAAAGCGAUAUGUUAGCCAAAUAUCCUCACUUAUUUGCUUAGACCAGAUUCUGAGGACAGAAUCUUCUUAAGGGGGGGAGUCUAUAACGACUGUGAAUUUUAUUUAUAAUUUAAAUAAAAAAAAAAAAAAUCAUAUUAUAUAAAAAUUACGUAUUAUGUGGUUAAGUGUUGAUUUAAUAUUUGCUCUUGUGUGAACUAUUAAUUGUUGUAUCGAGUUAGUGUUUUAAAAAUGAUUUAUUUACUUUUCAAAUUUCGACGAAUAAGAAAUAUCUCCAAUUUGAAUUUAUAAGAAAUACAAAACCAUUCUUAAAAAUCAUUUUUAUCGUUUCAUAAUUAGAAUAAUUAUUUUUAGGAAUUUACAAAAUUGUCAAAAUAUUAUUUUGAUAAAAAUCUGAUUUUAAAAUAUUUUCCAAGUCCAUUUAACUUCUAAAUCGCUUAUAAAUUUCAAUAAUGCUCCAUAAAUCCUGAGACUUUUAUUUUAUUCGUUUUAUAAUAUUCCGGGAUUUAUAAAAAUAUUUCAGUAACUUUUCGAAGAUAUUUUGUUACAAGUUAUUCCGAUAAUCGAUUAAAAGCAGGCUUAGAUUAGUGAUUAUUCAGCAUAAACGAGACACGUGGCAAGCCAGAGCUGCAGCACGUGCCCUGUACCACCGCCAUUCUUUUCUUUUAAUUCCAGUUCUCCCCUUUCCCUUUUAUUUCCACGUUAAUCUCUCCUCACCCCCUCUGCUAAUCUCUCACACUCUCUCCCGUACAUAUCUCCUCCAUUCCUCUUCCACCUUUGUUCCCCGUUCUUUUCUUUUCCCCCGAAACCCGCCGCCGCCGCUGUUCAAACUCCGGCCAGUCGCCGGCACCACCACUGUGUUGUUUCUUCUGAUUAAUUCACCCGCGAUUCUUCGAGUUCCUAGGCAAUCCAGACGCAGGCUUGCUGUUUUCGGACGAAUCCAGCCCUGUUCUUCAGCCUCCAGUGUUGUGUUAGCGCGGUAUAACCCAGUCUCGUGUAUAUAAUUCGAUUAUUAUGAUUUUGGUUAUUUGGGUCGGAUUGAGUUGUUGAUUGGAUGCUUAAAUUCGGAUUAAUGUUAGUUAAUUUCUACUAAUAUUAAUACUUAAAAUCAGGAUUGUGUCUAUAAUUAGCCGGUUGUUAUAUGUGUGUAUUAUACGUGCUUGUUAAAUGUGAAUUUGUAUAUGAGACUCGGAUAUAAUUUUGUGUUGGUAGUAACUAUCGGGACCACUAAGUUAUUUUAAUUUAAUUGUUGAUUGAUGUUUGAUUUGGAUUGUUGGGUUUACAAGUUAGUAAUUAUCUUUCGAGGAUUAGAAGUAAAAUUUUGAUGAUACAUCUAUGUAUGCCUCGACUUUUCGGGUAUAUGUGUUUAUAUUAUUAAAAUUUAUAUUUUUAUAAUGUGAUAAUUGAUUAUUAACUUUUCGUGCCUAGUUGAUCCUGUAAGUCUUAUUAAACGUAUUUUAUGUAUAGUAAAUUAGCAAUCCUGCUAAAAGUUUUCUUAUGUGUUUACAAGAAGAUAGUAAAUUAGCAAUCCUGCAAGGCGGAUUUUCUUAUGUGUUAUGUGUUUACUGCAAGUCAAGGCAGAUUUUCUAAUAUAUUAAGCCAUAUUAGUGGCUAUUCUUGGUAUUGAAAACAGGUGGAUAGUCCUAUAAACAGAGGAGGUGCUGCCGAAAUUUUGUUAGAAAUUAUAUGCAUUUAGACUAUUUAAAGGUGUUUGAUAGAUAAUAAGUAGAGACAAUAAUAUUGGUAUACAUGUCUACGUGAUACGUGAUCACUAGUAAUCUUUAAUAAUUAUAAAAGUAUUUCUUGGUUGACUAAGUUCUAUGUGUUUGGCUGAAAUUUAUGUUUAUAUAAACGAAGGGUAGUGAUUAAGUGAUAUUGAGGAUAUGACUUUGGAUUCAAAUAGUUAAGACCCAGUCUUCUAUCCUGUAGGUUCCGGUUAGAGAGCCUAACAGUAUAGUGCAGUCUUAUCUCUAGCAUUCUAUUAUCAAGGCAAGUAUUUCUAUCCUACUUCUCUAGUACCUAUAGAUACUAAAACCUUCUUUAUAUCAUGAUUCAAAUUAUUUGCAAUUACUCUCUUGUGAAGCAUAUCUAGUAUUUCCAAACUUUUUGGUUGAACGGAUAACACUUUUGGUAUCGACUCUACACUAUUAUAUGCAUAAAGAAAUUGUUUUAACAAAAUGUUAUUUUGGCUCUUGAAUUACAUGAUGGAACUGCAGAUUGUUCUAAAAAUUAAACUAUUGGGUUGUUUUUGCGUAAGAGGCUCGGGCACCGGCCCAGCGUGAAAGGUGGCUCCUUAAGCCCGGAUUACCGGAAUUCGUAAUAUUUGUCAACCUUGCUGAAUAAGCUUGGUUUAUGGACUAUAGCAUGACUGAUCAUCUGUUAUAGCCAGGUGUCCAAUGAUUUUUAAAGCCCAAUAAAAUUGUGAAUAGUUAAAGAGAGGUUAUCCUGCCUUCAAGAGAUAUUUGCUUAUACAUUCAUUUCUGCAGUUUUAAAUAUUUUCACUUCUUUAUUAUGGCAUUGCUGUACAACAAAUAUCAAUUUCAUUCUGUUAUACUUGCUGAGCAUUUCUUUGGCUCAUACCUGUUUAUUUUCAAACUAACCCCUUUCAGAUGCCAAGGAUUAGAGCAGCUGCUUAUAAGGUUUCCCAGAGUUAUCUUUUGUGCUAGGAAAAUCGCAGGAUGAUGCUAGGAGUCUUGGACUAAGUGUGGAUUAGUUAGUACGACUUGUUUCUUUGAAGUUGUAUUAUAGUGUCAGUAUGGUUGUAGUGGAAAACUCAUGUGGUAAGGAACCUAUGUCGUCGUUCGUUUGCAGUAACAGUUUAAACCUUUCGCAGACUUAAACCUGGGAAGAUCUUUGGUCAGGGGUGUAAUGGUAA
RNAcentral lists this long non-coding RNA (9571 nucleotides) under Daucus carota (carrot). RNAcentral's name for it is "long non-coding RNA (DCAR_LNC000449)". Lineage: Eukaryota; Viridiplantae; Streptophyta; Magnoliopsida; Apiales; Apiaceae. The record is from RNAcentral.